UACGAAGGGGGCUAGCGUUGCUCGGAAUUACUGGGCGUAAAGCGCACGCAGGCGGUCUUCCAAGUCAGUGGUGAAAGCCCGGAGCUCAACUCCGGAACUGCCAUUGAAACUGUAAGACUUGAGGAUGAGAGAGGUGAGUGGAAUUCCCAGUGUAGAGGUGAAAUGCGCAGAUAUCAGGAGGAACACCGGUGGCGAAGGCGGGUCUCUGGGCCGAUACUGACGCUGAGGAGCGAAAGCGUGGGGAGCGAACAGG
Molecule: ribosomal RNA, 253 nt
Filed under: uncultured bacterium
Lineage: Bacteria
Description: partial 16S ribosomal RNA
Rfam family: Bacterial small subunit ribosomal RNA
Source: RNAcentral